Molecule: ribosomal RNA, 253 nt
Filed under: uncultured bacterium
Lineage: Bacteria
Description: partial 16S ribosomal RNA
Rfam family: Bacterial small subunit ribosomal RNA
Source: RNAcentral
UACGUAGGGUGCAAGCGUUGUCCGGAAUUAUUGGGCGUAAAGAGCUCGUAGGCGGUUUGUCGCGUCUGCUGUGAAAACCCGAGGCUCAACCUCGGGCCUGCAGUGGGUACGGGCAGACUAGAGUGCGGUAGGGGAGAUUGGAAUUCCUGGUGUAGCGGUGGAAUGCGCAGAUAUCAGGAGGAACACCGGUGGCGAAGGCGGCAUCCUGGACCGGCAUUGACGCUGAGGAGCGAAAGCCAGGGGAGCAAACGGG